RNAcentral lists this ribosomal RNA (245 nucleotides) under uncultured archaeon. RNAcentral describes it as "partial 16S ribosomal RNA". It matches the Rfam family "Archaeal small subunit ribosomal RNA", at positions 474 to 719 of the family's 1478-position model. The record is from RNAcentral.
UACCCGCAGCCCAAGUGGUGUUCGUUAUUAUUGAGCCUAAAACGUCCGUAGCCGGAUCAGUAAAUUCUUGGGUAAAUCGAACGGCUUAACCGUUCGAAUUCCGAGAAGACUGCUGGUCUUGGGACUGGGGGAGGCUAGAGGUACUCCCGGGGUAGGGGUGAAAUCCUGUAAUCCUGGGGGGACCACCAGUGGCGAAGGCGUCUAGCUAGAACAGCUCCGACGGUAAGGGACGAAGCCCUGGGGCA